RNAcentral lists this ribosomal RNA (403 nucleotides) under uncultured bacterium. Its description in RNAcentral is "bacterial SSU rRNA". It matches the Rfam family "Bacterial small subunit ribosomal RNA", at positions 355 to 776 of the family's 1533-position model. The record is from RNAcentral.
UAAGGAAUCUUCCACAAUGGACGAAAGUCUGAUGGAGCAAUGCCGCGUGCAGGAUGACGGCCUUCGGGUUGUAAACUGCUUUUAUAUGGGAAGAUUGUGACGGUACCAUAUGAAUAAGGACCGGCUAACUACGUGCCAGCAGCCGCGGUAAUACGUAGGGUCCAAGCGUUAUCCGGAAUCACUGGGCGUAAAGCGUGCGUAGGUGGCGUGUUAAGUGAGAUGUGAAACCGUGUGGCUCAACCAUACGUUGUGUCUCAUACUGGCAUGCUAGAGGACAGCAGAGGCAAGUGGAAUUUGUAGUGUAGCAGUGAAAUGCGUAGAUAUUACAAGGAACACCAAUGGCGAAGGCAGCUUGCUGGGCUACUCCUGACACUGAGGUACGAAAGCGUGGGGAGCGAACAGG